AUUGAACGCUGGCGGCAUGCCUUACACAUGCAAGUCGAACGGCAGCACGGGUGCUUGCACCUGGUGGCGAGUGGCGAACGGGUGAGUAAUACAUCGGAACAUGUCCUGUAGUUGGGGAUAGCCCGGCGAAAGCCGGAUUAAUACCGCAUACGAUCUACGGAUGAAAGCGGGGGACCUUCGGGCCUCGCGCUAUAGGGUUGGCCGAUGGCUGAUUAGCUAGUUGGUGGGGUAAAGGCCUACCAAGGCGACGAUCAGUAGCUGGUCUGAGAGGUCGACCAGCCACACUGGGACUGAGACACGGCCCAGACUCCUACGGGAGGCAGCAGUGGGGAAUUUUGGACAAUGGGCGAAAGCCUGAUCCAGCAAUGCCGCGUGUGUGAAGAAGGCCUUCGGGUUGUAAAGCACUUUUGUCCGGAAAGAAAUCCUUGGCCCUAAUACGGUCGGGGGAUGACGGUACCGGAAGAAUAAGCACCGGCUAACUACGUG
RNAcentral lists this ribosomal RNA (486 nucleotides) under uncultured bacterium. RNAcentral's name for it is "partial 16S ribosomal RNA". It matches the Rfam family "Bacterial small subunit ribosomal RNA", at positions 30 to 507 of the family's 1533-position model. The record is from RNAcentral.